This 350-nucleotide unclassified non-coding RNA is filed under the name soil metagenome. RNAcentral's name for it is "partial contains 5.8S ribosomal RNA, internal transcribed spacer 2, and large subunit ribosomal RNA". The stretch from base 1 to 120 matches the Rfam family "5.8S ribosomal RNA", at positions 35 to 154 of the family's 154-position model. The record is from RNAcentral.
GAUGAAGAACGCAGCGAACUGCGAUAAGUAAUGUGAAUUGCAGAAUUCAGUGAAUCAUCGAGUCUUUGAACGCACAUUGCGCCCCCUGGCAUUCCGGGGGGCAUGCCUGUCCGAGCGUCAUUGCUGCCCUUCAAGCCCGGCUUGUGUGUUGGGUCGUCGUCCCCCCCGGGGGACGGGCCCGAAAGGCAGCGGCGGCACCGCGUCCGGUCCUCGAGCGUAUGGGGCUUUGUCACCCGCUCGAUUAGGGCCGGCCGGGCGCCAGCCGGCGUCUCCAACCUUUUAUUUUACCAGGUUGACCUCGGAUCAGGUAGGGAUACCCGCUGAACUUAAGCAUAUCAAUAAGCGGAGGA